This 499-nucleotide long non-coding RNA is filed under the name Olea europaea subsp. europaea. Lineage: Eukaryota; Viridiplantae; Streptophyta; Magnoliopsida; Lamiales; Oleaceae. The record is from RNAcentral.
AGAUGAUCAUACUAGAUUGUGUUGGGCUUACUUGCUAAAAGAAAAGUCUGAUGUCCAAACGGUAUUCGUAAACUUUCAUUCCAUGAUCCAAACACAAUUUCAAACACAAAUACAAAUCUUGUGACGUGAUAAUGGGCACAAAAUAUUUUAACACUACCUUCAAAGAAUUUCUCCAAAAACAAGGUAUAAUUUAUCAAAGUUCCAACAAAUUGGGAUUGCUGAAUGAAAAAAUAGAUACCUCCUUGAGGUAGUUCCUACCUUAACGUUCACCACAAAUAUACCGAAAUAUUUUUGGAGAGAUUCCAUCUUAACAUCGGCAUAUCUCAUGAAAAGACAGCUAAGCCGAGUCCUCUCGUUCAAAUCACCUCUCCGCAUAUUCGGAUGUACAGCCUUUGUCCAUGUACACCCUCAUCAACGGAGUAAACUUGAUCUUCGUACACUCAAAUGUGUUCUCAUCGGAUACUCGGCUACCCAAUAAGGCUACAAAUGUUAUGAUCCA